This 207-nucleotide ribosomal RNA is filed under the name Oxyrrhis marina. RNAcentral describes it as "partial Bacterial large subunit ribosomal RNA". It matches the Rfam family "Bacterial large subunit ribosomal RNA", at positions 904 to 1109 of the family's 2925-position model. Lineage: Eukaryota; Dinophyceae; Oxyrrhinales; Oxyrrhinaceae. The record is from RNAcentral.
AGAGCACUGUUUCGGCUAGGGGGUCAUCCCGACUUACCAAACCGAUGCAAACUCCGAAUACCAAUGAGUACUAUCCGGGAGACAGACUGCGGGUGCUAACGUCCGUAGUCAAGAGGAAAACAAUCCAGACCGCCAGCUAAGGCCCCAAAAUUAUAGUUAAGUGGGAAACGAUGUGGAAAGGCCCAGACAGCCAGGAGGUUGGCUUAG